UUCUUCCGGCCACAAACGACUCUACUCCGAACUUCUUCCGAACUUCAUCAAUGUCCGAGCCUCUCUGACAAUGGGAUUUCUACAGUAACCAGACUCCAUCCAAGUUUUUUCGAUGGUCGACCACCUUCCGGAUUCCAUCCGAGCUGCUACGAGAAUCGGAUUUCAACCAAACUCCUACAGUGGAUGGAUCCCAGACAAAUUUCGACAAUGAAAGGGC
This 217-nucleotide long non-coding RNA is filed under the name Elaeis guineensis (African oil palm). RNAcentral describes it as "long non-coding RNA (EGUI_LNC054465)". The record is from RNAcentral. Lineage: Eukaryota; Viridiplantae; Streptophyta; Magnoliopsida; Arecales; Arecaceae.